AACGCAAAUUGCGCUUCUCUCCGGAGGAGCACGUCUGUUUGAGCAUCAUUAAGCAACCACUCACAGUGUUAUUCUUUUUUUUUUUUCUUUCAUUGAAAUAAAGAGAAACGUUUGUGGAUUCUGAAUCUUAUUUUCCUUUUGCAAAUUCGGCCGAGAUACGUGUUUCCUCUUUUCUUUUUUUCGAUCUCAUUCUCAAUUUAGUAUUUAAAUCUGAGGAGAGGAAAAAGAAAAACUAAACAUUGUAUUAUCAAACAGUAUGUUUGAACAAUGCAAAUUUGAUCUCAAAUCAGGUGAGACUACCCGCUGAACUUAA
RNAcentral lists this unclassified non-coding RNA (313 nucleotides) under uncultured fungus. Its description in RNAcentral is "partial contains 5.8S rRNA and ITS2". Lineage: Eukaryota; Fungi. The record is from RNAcentral.